CCGACACACAGAGACCGACACACAGAGACCGACACACACACACACCCUGACACACACACACACACUAAGAUCUGUUGCUUAACGUCAACCUGAUUCAAAAUUUUAUGUACAGAAUAUAACUUUGUUUGUGAAGACACAGUAAGGCAUUUUAAAUGGUUAGUUAGUUGUACAGAACAUGCAAUUGUCACAUCAUUCAAAUCAUUGGCAUUAGCUAAAUUAGGCGUGUGUUGUGCAUCAUCAUUUGAUUUCAAUGCUGUAUCUAUAUUCUUGAUUUUGUUCGUUGGCUUUUCAGUUCAGUACUUAAACUUUACAAAAUAAAGUGCAGACCGUGGCUUUUCAAAUGUCAAGUUUAUUGUUACUGUGUAGCUAAUCAGGUUAACAGUGAACUCUGUUGAAGGUACAGUGGUGUCGCCUGAUUUCUGUGUUAUGAAAUGGCAGUGAAUGAUUUUGGCGCUGAAUUUAAUGGUUGUAGGCCAAAGAAACUUUUUUAUUUGUCUUUCACUGCAUUAUGUUCAUACACAUUGCGCUCCCGUAUAACUGGCCUUGUAGUCGUGUCAGACUGGUGCCCAGGGCUCGUGCUGCAGGGGAGACGCUACCCAGAGUGCAGCAGGGGAGACGCUACCCAGAGUGCAGCAGGGGAGACGCUACCCAGAGUGCAGCAGGGGAGACGCUACCCAGAGUGCAGCAGGGGAGACGCUACCCAGAGUGCAGUAUUUGAACACGGAUGUAUAUUGGCACACAGUCUAUGAGCUACAAAGCUUUUAUCAGUCAGCUGUCCUGUUAGAUGCUAUGGACACGAUUCUUAGUUUCACACACACACACACACUUUCUUGUCCUGGCAUGAGUUAGAUGCUCUGCACCACUAGUGGUUGUUCCUCCUUCCCUAAAGAGUCCUGGAUAUUGAUACAGUUCUGACAGCACAAGCCCCACUGAACAGCCCUAGUGAGCUUUUCGCCAGCUUUGUUAAAAAAUACUUUUGGUGUUUCUCUGAAUCAAGCCUUAACACCUCAGAAGUCCUCAAUAUCUACACAGUGAUUUAAUAACAAAUGACAACUCUGAGCUAUAUCUUCUGUUAUGAACACUUCUUAGAGACAAGUUUCUUCAACGGUUUGAAUUCCCUGAAGUCACAAGAUCUACAAGUGCGUGACUGAACUCAGGGAUUUGGGAGGGGCACUGAUGUACUUUAUGAUCUGUAAACACAGUUGGUUUACUGGCAUGAAGUUACGAACCAGGGAGAGCUAUUACCUGAUCUAAAUCAAAGGUACAUACCCUUUUAUGUUUGUCCUUAUGAGUUUCAAUCGUUUUGGUAUUGGUAGUACUAGGGGCUAUUGCAAAGAGUAUGAUUUAGUGAUACUCUACAGUUGUCUAAAUAGAGAAUAUGCAGCUAAAAUCUAGAACAAGCAUCAACGAGUGUGUUUGGAGAAACACACUGGGCACCAUCCCCACCUGUGGCUUCUUCAGGGGAAACGAGGAGGACAUUGUUAGGUGAAAAUUCACAUUAAAGUUCACCUCGGACUCUGGACUUGUGUAUAGAUCUCUUUAUUCAAUAUGCAUAUGGGGCUCACUCACAUCUUACCAGACGAGAGAGAAGCAAAGUUAAACGCAUCACACAAGGAUAAAGGUUGAAGUUGGCGUCACUGACACCAACGCCAUAUCUGGCAGUGAUAACCACGGGGUGGGUUCCCACGUCCAAGGUCAUAUUCGCCCUAAAAUGUACAGACACAACUUAUGCAACUAUGCUUUUUGCAAACGUUUUGGUUUACAAUGUUCCAGAUGUAGAAAAGAAGAACAAUCCGUUCUUCUUUUCAGCUCUCGCUUACACACACAGAGUGUACACUUUUAAGCAGUGGCGGAUUAAGCCUCGGCUGGCCCUAAGGCACAUUUCGAAAUUUCAGAGAAUGGCCUGAACAAUUUAAAUUAGAUCUCGGGCUCAUGAAAAUAGACCCCAGACAAAAGAGGAACUGAUUCAUGAACAAAAAAGACAAAUAUUUAAUGUGAAAAGAAACUACUUUCAAACUAGUUUAGUCUGUACAAUUUGCAGUGUAU
Molecule: long non-coding RNA, 2046 nt
Organism: Clupea harengus (Atlantic herring)
Lineage: Eukaryota; Metazoa; Chordata; Actinopteri; Clupeiformes; Clupeidae
Source: Ensembl